Molecule: long non-coding RNA, 2165 nt
Organism: Gallus gallus (chicken)
Lineage: Eukaryota; Metazoa; Chordata; Aves; Galliformes; Phasianidae
Exons: 3
Source: RefSeq, a predicted model, not a curated record
CUCGUACUGGGAGCCCUGCAACACAUUCAGGCAAGUGGAGAGGAAAAAGCACAUCAAUUAUCUCGUUAGCGUCUCUCCCAGACCUGAAUAGGCUGCUCUGGGAGACGGAACGCGCUUCGGAGCCGGGCACGGGAGCUUCACACUCCAAUACGGCCCUCCCCUCUCUGGGCUCCCACGUUUGGAGCAGGCAGAAGGGUUCCCGAGUGACCCCCGCUUCUUGCAGAGAAAGGAGAAGAGGGACCGAGCUGGGCUCUGUCAGGCAGAACGCGGAUUUCCUCCGCAAACCAAAGCGAACCGAACGAUGGGAAAGCACUAAGUUCACAUUCCACCACGACAAUUUGCUGUGCGCUCCAAACGACCUUAGGAAGGGAAAGCAGGUAGCACAGCACAGCUAACAACUGAUGCCCACGCUCAUCGUUGGGUUUAUCCGCCAAAUAUCCGGGGGGAUAUCACGCACGCAGAUCACUCUCCCUUGGCCCCGGUUCUGCCUUUAAAAGGAGUUGGUGUGAGAGGCGGCCGGCGUGGCAGUGCGCAACUUCAGCGCGGAGCCACUUCGGUGCGAGGGCUUUGCACACACAAACCUCCCCCCAGCACACCCCGAUGGUGCCCCGAGAAUCCGGUAUGAAAUAUUAACUCCCAAGUGUUGGGAGAGCCCUACCUCCGCAAUGAAAGGCGAUCUUUGCAGCACAGAAAAUGCAUAUGCGGAGACUUUAUCUCUUAAGUUUUACUUUGAUGUGAGCAGAGCAAACACCAACUGUUUACAAGCGUUUAGAGACGGUGAUUUAUUUGCAAUCAAUAUUCUUUUUAUCAUCGGUAGUAAAACACAGCGAGUCACAUUAUCCCAUCAGGUGUUUUGGUAAAUAACAUUUUAUCUUUCUAGCGAGCUCGUUAGGCCUCAUUAUGACCGCAAAUUGCCCAGAUAUUAACUUCAUAUUUUAGCUCCGGAUUUCCUAACGCUCGGAAUUUGAGAAUCGAUUUCUAAAUAUCGCCACCACGGUGAAUUACUGUAGUAAAACACCGGGAUGCCUUUGCAAGUAGGAAAGGAAACUGUUGCUGAAUAUCUGACACUUACAGCCGUUUUCUUUCUAUCUCUCCCUCUCUUUCUUUUCUUUUUUUUCUUUUUUUGUUUUGUGUUUCCACCACAAUGUCACUUUCUUCUGGCCCAGAAAUACACUCGCAGGUUGAAUCUUAGGGAAUGGUGUCAGCCUUAAAAAUGACCCCUUCAACAGUGGCCGCAGUGCAACUGAGCUAACUUUGUUAAACAUUUAUAAAUGAACGUGCAUUUCAAUUUCAGAGGCAAUGCGUACGCACGAAGCGAAGCCCGAUGCAAUUUUUAUAAUGUGUUACAGAGCGGGCUUUCUGCGCUCCCUUUAUCCCGCUGUCUUUUGUUAUUGUUGCUGAAAUGAUAUUUUUUUUCCCCCCGCACUCUCUGCUGGGAAAUCUUUUGAAAGAGCCACUUGUAAAUCACUCUCUGCCGCUGGGUCAACUUUUUGUGCAUCUCCAAAAUCAAGGUUGAAAAUAAAAGAGGGGGACGCGUGCUGCUAACGCUGCCCUCGUAAGGAAGUGUUUGCGGCACAGACUGAUCUGUGUUCCGACGCUGACCUCGUUCAACAGCGCAUCUGACUGCCGACCUACACACGUAUAUGCACACACGUACUGAAGCCCCUCACCAGCUGUGCCUUGCAUGCACCUCCACUCUUUUCCUUUUCGGAAGAGAUCAUAGAGGGGCAUUGAGAGUAAGUGCAGCCUCUGCGCACCGCCGUUGAGCAAUCCGCAGACACGGAGCAACGAAUACGCUUCAGCGACGCCGGAGAGGAAAAGCUGACCAAUAGCUGGAGCUUAAUCAGAAAAGUGCGCAAAGAACUAAACUGUAUGGGAAACUGAAAACAACAUCAGCUGCUGCCGGAAGCAUGGGGAAAACCUUUCCCUAAAGCUAAACAGUCCAGAAGAUCCUAAGGAAAAGGAGCGCGGUUCCAACUCAUUAGCACCGAGGAGUCCCGUAGCGAAGGAGGAACUGGGAUCAGAGUGGGACACUGUCACCUUUCCGCUGGAGAGCGGGCGCCCGUCUGAAAACAAGCGGGAGAGAAAUAGAUAGCGGCGCUGGGUGUAAUGUGAUUACACCUGAGGUAAUCGCUUAAAAUAAAUUGUAUGCUGUUUAAAGUAAA